Molecule: unclassified non-coding RNA, 238 nt
Filed under: Hevea brasiliensis (rubber tree)
Lineage: Eukaryota; Viridiplantae; Streptophyta; Magnoliopsida; Malpighiales; Euphorbiaceae
Source: RNAcentral
GUUAGGCCAUCCUCCAGAAAGCAAGUCUUCAUAGUCCCAUAAACAGAGAUAAUGCAAUACCCCUUCGCUGAACGGGAUAUUCCACAGAGAAACCAUUACGUGUGAGAUCAUCCAGCGUCUGUCUUAGAUUAGAGUAUGUGGAGAGAAAGACAAGAAACGCCGGCGAAGUGGUGGACGGAGGAAAAGGGACAGUGAACGCCAACGGGGAACUGAAACGACGACGUUUUUUUGCCGUAAC